Molecule: long non-coding RNA, 4161 nt
Filed under: Nicotiana tabacum (common tobacco)
Lineage: Eukaryota; Viridiplantae; Streptophyta; Magnoliopsida; Solanales; Solanaceae
Description: long non-coding RNA (NTAB_LNC011048)
Source: RNAcentral
AUGCUUGUUCAUGUAUUAAAAAUCGUGGUAUUGCUAAUGACAUGAUUUGCUAUAUAUGUAUAAGAAUAAUAUUGGCUAAAUACCUAUACGACCCCUUAAACUUGGCUCAAAUUUUCAUUUAAACACUUCAACUAAGGCCAGUACCUAUUGUAUACUUUAACUUAAUAUAUUAUGUACCUAUUAAACACCUCAUGACAGGUGGCACGAUGUGUUAUUUGCACUUAAGAGUUAGGAGCGUAAACAAGAAAUAUUAUAUUUUUUCUGUUUUCUUCUAGUCAUUUUUUUUUAUUCUUUUUCUUUCUCCUUCAUUUCUCAUCGCUACCUCCAUCCCUGAGUUGAACACAUGCCUACAGUUUCCGGCUGCUGAUAACUGAGAAAAUAUGAAGAAAGGAUCAAGAUUCUUGAAGAAAAGGAAGUCGGCGUCUACGAAUAUGAGUUUAUCAUAUUCCUCCUAAUUUCCCCUAGGGCCUUUCUAUAGAACUUCUAAUUAUAAAAAUAUAAAUCCAUUAAAUGGUUUAAUCAAAUGCAGCUUCCAAUUGUUUUGAUAGCAAGAUAUAAGAAAACUAGCAGGCAUGAAAAACGAUACCAAAACACAAACCCAAAGAUAAAUUGUUCAAAAAAUAGUUUAUUUAAAUUCCAUCCAAAGAUCUGAUGCCUAAAAGAAGUGAAUCAAAUUGGGAUAGCGGAAAAUAAACUCAACAAUUUCAGAAAAUAAUCAAGCAAACUCGAGUAGAUUUUGCAAAAAGAAACCCAGCAAGAAAAGUGCAGUAAUUUCAAACAUCAACUCUAUAAAAUUGAUCCGAUUUUAUACCGAUUAAACUCAACAAGAAAAAUCCAGCAAUUUCAGACAUCAAAAACAUGAAUUAAUUUUGAAGCUACAAACAUGGAGUUCAAUCCAACGAUUUCGCCGGUAUCGAAAUUCUCCGUCUAUAUGUGAAAUUUAACAGCGAAGAUGUACAGCUACAAACAUAGAGAUUUUUCAACCAAGAAGACAACAAUAUGCUUUUUGUUUGGACAUAGCUAGAGAGAGGUAGAAAAAUAUGAAUAGGCAGGGAAGAAGCAGAUAGCUUCAUAAAGGAGAGGGGGAAAGAAAUGGCUGUCCGGAAAAGACGAGUUUCGUAGGUGGGUGGGGAGUAAAGUUUUUAAUAUUUUUUUAAAUAUUUUUCAAUUUGAAUUAUUUAACCUUAAAUAAAGAAAAAAGAAAAUGGACACAACCAUGUGUCACGAUGUUGCACCACAUUAUCUGAAAGUGAACACCACACACUUACCUUUUUACAUUGGGUGAGUGCGAGGUAUUUAAUAUGUACAUAUUGCAUUAAGUUAAAGUGUAUAAUAGGUAUUGGCCUUAGUUAAAGUGUUUAAAUGGAAAUUGGAGUCAAAUUUAAGGGGCGGUAUAUGUAUUUGGCCAAUAAUAUUGAAUAUGGUAUAUAACUAAUACAAGGAGUACUAUUAAUUAUACAUAGACCGCUAAACACUAUCAAAUAAGGAAUUGAUAACACUGAAACUAAUACAUAUAUUAUUUUCCUUAAUACAUUCUAUCAAACGACCCGUAAGUGCAAAGUUCAUAAGGCAGUAAAUAAAUGAGAUUUUACCGUGAUAUAUACACAAUACUAGUAGCUUUUCUUUCCUUAUAAGCAGUGUUAGACGCAAAAUUUUUAAGAAGGGAAUAGAAAAAGAAAUUGCUAAAAAUUAGGGAGAAACCAUUUUUAAUGAAAAUGAUUACACAAUCAAAAAAGAAUAAGGAUGUGCUGGCAGGAAGGAAAAUGUUUUUCGUGGAAAAUGAGUGGUUUUAUCACUUAUUUUUUCUUUUUUGGUUGGUGAGAGAAAAACUUUUUUCGAAAAAUAUUUUCUAGUAUUUGGUUAGAGAGUAUAAAAUACUUUUUAGGAAAAUAAUGUUUUAUGCUAUUAUCCUCACCUCCUUCUCCCAAAUCCCCAAAUAUACAACGUUUUCAGGACUUCAUAUUCUUCAAACAUUUAAUUAUUCUUUUAAAAAUUCACACAAACAAGGAACUAAUAUGCUGCUUUACUUUUUCACGCAAAACAACGUUGAAAUUUGUGCUCCAUAGUCAAAAGAAAAUAAACUUUUUUUGGUUAAAAAAGAAUGUACUUUUUCUACAACAUGAAAAGAAAGUUAUCAUUUUGUUGAAAUGAAAGAAAAAACUUUUUCUAAAUCAUAAAAAAAUAUGCAUUUUGUUGAAAUGAAAGAAAAUAUUUUUUCUACAUCAUGAAAAUAAAUACUCAUUUUGUUAAAAUGAAAGAAAAUAUUUUACUAUAUUAUUUUGUUGAAACGAAAGAAAAUAUUUUUUCUACAUCAUGAAAAAAAAGUAUUUUUUUGUUGAAAUAAAGAAAAUAUUUUUUUUUAAAUCAUAAAAAAAUACCCAUGUUGUUGAAAUGAAAAAGAAAUAAUCUAUCUACAACAAGAAAAUAAAGUAUUCUUAAUAAUAUUUCUUUUUAGGGUAGGAGCCAUGGGUGGGGGCGUGAGAGGCUUGGUGGAGAAUGAAGAAUAAGAUGGAGAAGGUUUAAAAAGAGUUUUGAAAAAUAUUUUUUAUUCGCUUGAUAGGGAAAAUAUUUUUCUCCUAUUGGAGGAAAAUGAAUUCAUGAAAAAAAUAUUUUUUAAAAUAUUUAAACCAACCAAACAUGAGAAAAUUAAAUAAUAUUUUUCGAAAAUUAUUUCCUUCCUUACCAAACACACUCUAAGUAUAUUCUCUAACAUUCUCCUCGUAACCUAAUUUCGCUCUGGUUCCAUAGAAACAGUCUAAACAUAUUUAAAAUCUUAAGAUUAUGAGUGAAGUGAUUAAGGGGUAUUACAAACAUUCUUUUGAAAAUUCUUGCUCAGCCAAAGACUAUUUUCCAACAAAAUUAAUUCACAGCCAAAUGUUCUUUUGGGUCAGACUAGAGCUAGCGUCGAUCCUCGAAUAUAUCUUUUGUCUUGUCAUUUCAUUGCAUGAAAUAUCAGCUAAAGUUUACGUGCAUCGUAAUUUAUUUAUUCAUACAAUGGAGAUUUUCUUACUUCCCAUUCAAAGAAAGGAAUAAAAAGGCACAUUAACAGGGGAGUAAUAUGUACCAUGACAAUUCAAUGAAGUCACUUGCUAGUGCAAAUAGCAAUCAGAAAAGACGAAACGUCAAUCACAAUGUCUAUGUCUACACCCUCCUCUCUUCUCAGUUCUCUGCUCUAUUCUGGAGUCUGGACUCUUGAUUCAUUUACUCCAAUGAAAAAAGUACCAAUAUACGGUGUGAGGAGCGCAAAACACAACACGAAAUUGAUAUUCGCUAUUCACAUAUAGUAUAUAAAUAUAUCGUCUUUACAGGGAUUGAAUUUAAACAAUAUUCGAGUAAUUUCUAAUUUAAUUGCUAUUCAGGAGGAUUAAUACUUGAGUUGGAGUGAUUACUACUACAAUUAACUACUAAAUUAAGACUACUAUUAAUUAAAUGAAUAAUUAAUAGUAAUCUGAGUAUAUCUUUGCUUAAUAUGAUGAAUAAUUUUCAGAAAGAGAAAAAAUCGAACUAAAUCGAAUUUUUUUUCGUUUGUAUUUUUUAAAACAAAAAAUCAAUAGGUCCAUAUCAAAUAAUAGAAAAAUCAAAUGCACGCCCCUAGUCAUCCAAACACCUUCAAACUAAUCCCUCUAUGUUUCAACCAGAUCUACCCCAAACAACUUCCAACAAGCUCAAAAUUAUUCCAUUCAACUUUUGAUUUUUACCCCCAAAAGCUAAUCUAAAAAACAAUAAACAAACUGCUGGGGAGUAGUACCAUCUUUUACCCCCAAAAUUUAAAACUAAAAAACAAUUCAAAACAAAAAAGAUCAGGCAAGAGGUGAUGCCGUACGUCAAAUUGACGGGACAAGGGAAGCAGGCAUUGGAAUCAAUCAGACGUCUAUAAAAGGGUAAAUAAGAGCCAACAAUCACGGCCUGCCGAGCCAUCACAACAUGUACCAAAAUUCAAUACUUACUUUGUUUUGUUUCAUUUGUUUGGGCAUUGCAUUGUCUUAUCACUUAAACAUUAUCCUACCACCGACAGAGAAUUUAUGUAUUGAUACAUGAUUAUCAUUGUAGAAUUUGGCAACUACAUGCACAAACUAUUCGUGCAUGUCGUAUGAUGCAACCAAUAGAAAUCUCAGUAAUUGCUUGGGGCUUAUUCCAACUUUCACGAACUUAAAUAGACAU